This 484-nucleotide ribosomal RNA is filed under the name uncultured bacterium. RNAcentral describes it as "partial 16S ribosomal RNA". It matches the Rfam family "Bacterial small subunit ribosomal RNA", at positions 29 to 507 of the family's 1533-position model. The record is from RNAcentral.
AUUGAACGCUGGCGGCAUGCUUUACACAUGCAAGUCGAACGGCAGCGCGGGCUUCGGCCUGGCGGCGAGCGGCGAACGGGUGAGUAAUACAUCGGAACGUGCCCAGUAGUGGGGGAUAGCUCGGCGAAAGCCGGAUUAAUACCGCAUACGACCUGAGGGUGAAAGCGGGGGAUCUUCGGACCUCGCGCUAUCGGAGCGGCCGAGGGCGGAUUAGCUAGUUGGUGGGGUAAAGGCCUACCAAGGCGACGAUCCGUAACUGGUCUGAGAGGAAGACCAGUCAAACUGGAACGGAGACACGGUGCAGACACCUAAGGGAGGCAGGAGGGGGGAAUAUUGGACAAGGGGCGAAAGCGUGAUAAAGCCAGGGCGCGGGUGUGAAGAAGGACUUAGGAUUGUAAAGCACUUUAAGUGGGGAGGAAGGGCAGUAAGUUAAUACCUUGCGGUGUGGACGUUACCAACAGAAGAAGCACCGGCUAACUUCGUG